This 818-nucleotide long non-coding RNA is filed under the name Nicotiana tabacum (common tobacco). Its description in RNAcentral is "long non-coding RNA (NTAB_LNC003066)". The record is from RNAcentral. Lineage: Eukaryota; Viridiplantae; Streptophyta; Magnoliopsida; Solanales; Solanaceae.
CCCGUACUUCCAUUUCUACUUAUUUCAGUCGAAACAAAUUGAUAACGCCAUGAAUUAGUGGAGGAGAGCUUUAAAACAAAUUCAAUAGCUAAAAAAAGGCUAAAUCUACGACACUGAAUAUGAGUAUGACAUGAACAGUUAACUGAAACAAAACUAAUAAUGCCACAGAUCAAUAAAGAUAGAGUAUCUGAACAAUUUCAUGCCUAAAAUGCUAGAUCUAUAAAAUCACAAACAGUUAUAGCACAAACAACCAGAAUUUUUAUUCAUAAGCUCAAAGAGAGAGAAUAAGUGAAUAUACACAUACCUAGAAACAUAACUCAUAUGAGAACGACCAAAUGAAAAUUUGAAGUUCGAGGAUGAAAAGUAAGUUAUGGAAUAUCAACAAAACAACAACAAUCUUCAGAGGUUUUUCACUCGAAUUAUUCUUUGGUACCGGAAAUUUCAUGAUGAACAUAUAGUAACUAGAAACCUUAAAUCCCUUUGAAUCCUAUUGUUCUUCAAUUUUGAAGUCCCCUCUCUUCUUCUUUUUUUUUUUUGAUUUUCUUUUCGAAUCUCUAUUUGAGGAUUUCGAGCUUUGAAUUUAGCUGUUAUUGUGUGUAAGUCGUGUGCGAUUGAGUGUGUGUGGGUGAAGUGUAAGUGAGAGAGUGACGAAGGGGGAGGUGAGCCGUUUAGUUCUGGUUGUAAAAGUGAGGGAGUCUCGUUUCUAUGGAAUUGGGGAUGGGGGUGACGACUAGGUUUCCAAAAAUAGGGGGAGGGUUUCGUCUGUCUUCUCUUGAGAGCAUCAGGUGACAGCUAGGGUUUUAGGUUUGGGUUUGGGG